CAAGUUCUCAUUAACCAAUUCUGAAUACAAAAAGCUACACUCUCACUCAUUUAUUUACAUGAAAACAUAAACCAACAAAACCCCACACCAAAGUGUUUGAUUCACAAUGAUCAUACCCAAAAUACAAACAGUUAAAAAAGAGAAUUCUUUCAAAAUUUCAAAGUAAAAAAGUGUGCAAACGUAUAUAUAAAGUAAACUAGAGAAGCCUCCUCCUAAAAUUUCUAGUAGUUGAUUGAUAAGUACGCACGAGAAGGCCCACACCAAUCCCAAGACCAACACAAACACCAAGUCCAAU
This is a small RNA of Arabis alpina (gray rockcress), 295 nucleotides long. It matches the Rfam family "TeloSII non coding RNA 33". Rfam says of the family: Located downstream of the TeloSII elements. These elements have been shown to coordinate the expression of protein-coding gene related to ribosome biogenesis throughout the cell cycle in Arabidopsis. Lineage: Eukaryota; Viridiplantae; Streptophyta; Magnoliopsida; Brassicales; Brassicaceae. The record is from Rfam.